UACCACUUGCACAAAAUCAAAACCCAAUUAAACUCUUUCCCUCUCCAUUCGAGCAAAACACCGACCUCCCGCCUGCAGCUCAAAAUCACUGUCAAGCUCCCGCUCUCAACCAUCUCUUUCUUUCUUUCUUUCUUUCUCAGCUUCUCUCAGACGCACCCUCACUCCCAUUUUCUCACAGAGUCUCAAAACCAUGUCGUUGGAGCUUUCAACCAUCACAGCUUGCUUGCGAGGUUCUUGAAGAAAGCAAGCUCCUUCUUUCGAAGUAGGUACGGAUGUUUCGUAUUGGUCUGUAUUAAAUUCGAAUUGGGGAUUAGGGUUUUGUUGCAAUCGAUUUUGGGUGGGACUUUGUAUUGAAUUGGGGAUUAGGUUUUAGUUUUCUGGUUUUGGGGAUUGGGAGUUUUAGAGAGCUCGAUUUGUGUGCGAUCCCGCCGGGUAGUAAAAGUAAAACGACGUGUUCGAUAAUCGAUAUAGUUACUGCGAAACCCCUCCAAUGCAGUAGACUAUUUACCAGAAAAGAGCCACAGUCUCUAUUUGCUGCUUGUCUGGUUUAUAUUUUGGGAGGUCCCAAGCAAGAAUAGAAAUUUGGUUGUAGAGAGAUGAAGGCUUGUCAGCGGAGGCCUUGAAUGGUGCGAUCUGAUCCGAUCCGCGUACGUCAUCAUGUUUCUCUUCGACUGGUUCUACGGCGUGCUCGCUUCCCUCGGUCUAUGGCAGAAGGAGGCCAAGAUCUUGUUCCUAGGGCUCGAUAAUGCUGGCAAGACCACCUUGCUUCACAUGCUCAAAGAUGAUAUGAAUUGCAAGUUAAGCUAGAUUUACCAGAUCUGUAAUUUUCAUGCUAAACACUAAAAAGCUGUACAGACUGUCGGAGCUUAGUCCACAGCAGAGGCCAAGUCUAAACUUAUCACGGGGGCACCAGUAAUUAAUCAAAACAAACAGCUUAGUCCGCAGCUCAGAAUACAAAUAGUUUACUUGAAAACAAUCCAAAUCCACCUAGUGAAAGACUUGAGUUUAUGCCCAAAAAGUUCAAUAUUUCGCAUGAAUUUCCAUGGCGAGGCUGGUGCAGCAUCAACCUACGCAAUAUCCCACAUCCGAGGAGUUGAGUAUUGGCAAAAUUAAGUUCAAGGCCUUUGAUUUGGGAGGUCAUUAGAUUGCUCGCAGGGUCUGGAAGGAUUACUACGCAAAGGUUUGCUUCACUCAUGACUUUUUGAACUCCAUAACAAAAGUUAAAGACAUUGUGAUUCUUUGCGAAGUGCUUGCGUUAUUAACCAAGCUUUUGAGUGGAUGGUGCCGACCUCUUGAGGACAAAGGAACUUUAGUGUAUGAUGGGACUUCUGCUCAACUGUUAGAGAAGUAUAAAAUCAAAGGGAACUUGAAUCUCAUUUGGACUGUAGAUAUUCUCCAGGAGAAUGCACAUUACAUCCAAAUUAUGAAGUUUUGGGAUAUUUUGCCAUUUUCUCAUAUACCAGAACUAGCAAAGCGUCUUGACAUUGUUUUUGGGAAUUUUACAGUGGACAAAAUGAACCGCUGCCGUCACAACGUUGACAGGAUACUAUGGUUCCAAUGAGAUGGCCGGUGGUUUUCAGCAAUUUCCCUAUAGCUGAUCAUGAGGAGUUCCUUUCAAAACCAUUGUCUUCUUACAGUAUAACAACUAAUCGAGAAACAGCAACUUCAACAUAUGGGUCAGCAUAUAUUCCAACUUUUUUUGGAAGUCAUUGUUUUUGAAUAAUCAAAUAAAAUUAAACUAUUUGAACAAAAUGAUACACAACUCUAUUUACUAUAAAUAUUGGUUUUGGCAAAUAGGAAUCAACUACCAUGCAGAAGAAUGGAUGUAUAAUUCUGAGCAUGAAAUCUUUUCCUCAUCUUUACUGUAGGUGCUUAUGUUGUUUGGUGAUUCUGGAGUUUAUAGGCCUUAAUUUAAUUUGUAAAUAUCAUAUACUUAAACUCCAAAUGUCUAAAGCUGGAGGUUAUUCUCAGCAGCCUUAUGUCAUCAUGUAGGUCGCGAUUUUGGUCACACAUAUUAUCCACUUUUUCUUGUUCACGUCGAUAGGUGAUGUUGAAGUUCAUGUCCUGAAGAAGAGGAAUUAGUUUUCAAUAGAAAAGAUGGCCAUAUUCUUAUUCAUUACCUGAUAUAUUUUGUAAGCAUAUAUUUGAGCAAAUGUACCACUUGCUUCAAUAGGGAGACAUCGAAAGCAGUAAAACCAAUUAUCCCUUCGAAAAGCAAUGUCAAUUAUCCCUUCGUAUAGUGCUGAUGCAGUUGUCCUAGCUGUUGGAAUCUCCAUGCUUCAUAAACUUAUUGAAAAUAGAUAUUUUGUUAUUGAAUCUCAGAAAGUUUUAUGCAAAUAUCUGUGACCCAAUGUUGAUUAGAAAUCAGGGUUUUUGAUUGAAAACAAAUCAGUUAGUAUUACAAGACAGAAUAGUGUUACUAUUCAUCCUAUUCAUCCACAUAAGGAAGUCCAGAUACUAAUUUUAGAGCUCAUUUCAUGUAUAAGACUGUGAAGUGCAUGUUAGAUCUUAAAUUAACCCUAUUCCUGCUAUUUCUACCUUAAUUGGCAGUACUUGAGUUCUGUAUAGUGCAGAGUUGUGUACGAGGGAUGAAUUUGUCAAGGUCUCGAACCUGCUACCAUCGAUGUACUCUCCGUUAAGCUCUGGCUCAGUAGAGUAGAGGAAGUUUAAUUUUAACAUCACUAUCUAGCUUGUCUAAAUGACUCUUCUCUACAUUUUAACUUUUUCUCCUAAUAUGAACUGGGGAAUUUUACGAGAUUCCUAUGAGCCAAACGAAACUGAGCAUGUCCUUUGAUUCUAGCUUUUAUUUCUAAUAUGCUUUAGUUUUGAAAUAUCGUUCUAAUACCUACUUUGCUGAUUAGGCACUCUAAUCUGGAAACUUUUAAUAUAACAAGUUAGUCGAUGGUACUUUUCCAGUCAUGACUUGAUGGAGCUGAUUCUUUGUUGUGGACCACAUAAUCAGGUGAGCAUUCCAAAUGCAAGCAAUGCUUGCUCAGGUUUUGAUGAUUCGUUUCAGGUGGUCUUUCUUUGAUUUGACUGUAAUUCAUGAUGGCCACAAAGAUAGUACAGUAACAGUGCUACAAGCUGAUUUUUAUCGUGCCAAUGAGUUGUUAGUACUGACAGAUAAGCAAAUAGUUGCCAAGGUGACAUCUUACCUGUCAAAGUGCAUCAAGGACUUCGAGAAUGCUGCUGUGAUAAAUAAGGACAAGUUUUAUGUUUUCCGGCUUUAUGUAUUUAUAUGCACUUAGGGAAUGUUAAUUCCUAUGUAAAUGUUGAGAUGAAUAUUGCUGAUGGAAUGAAAUGGUUUUUGGAAUCAA
Long non-coding RNA from Rosa chinensis, 3317 nucleotides. RefSeq lists it as uncharacterized. The record is from RefSeq and is a predicted model, not a curated record. The transcript is spliced from 6 exons. Lineage: Eukaryota; Viridiplantae; Streptophyta; Magnoliopsida; Rosales; Rosaceae.